This 1216-nucleotide unclassified non-coding RNA is filed under the name Hevea brasiliensis (rubber tree). The record is from RNAcentral. Lineage: Eukaryota; Viridiplantae; Streptophyta; Magnoliopsida; Malpighiales; Euphorbiaceae.
GAGAGCCACUACACAUCCUCGUAACAAGUACUCUGAUAACCCGCCAGAUUUCUCCUUAUUGGCCUCUAAAUACUCUACCUUUGCACCUUACGUUUUCUACUCUGGAGAUGGUCGACCUAGAAUUGAUUGGACCGAUUUCAAUGCAACACGUGAACUCACCAGAGUCUUGCUCCACCAUGAUCAUGGACUCAAUUGGUGGAUUCCCGAUGGACAGCUCUGCCCCACAGUCCCCAACAGAUCAAACUAUAUUCAUUGGAUUGAAGAUCUUUUAUCAUCGGACAUCAUUCCUAAAGUUCAAGCUGACAGAAACACUGCUAAAGGUUUUGAUAUAGGAACUGGGACCAAUUGCAUUUACCCUCUUCUCGGUGCAUCUCUUCUGGGUUGGAAGUUUGUUGGCUCUGAUUUUACUGAUGUAGCUUUGGAGUGGGCAGAGAAAAAUGUCAAAAGUAAUCCUCAUAUUUCUGAAUUGAUUGAGGUCAGAAGAGUUAAUAUGGAAAACCCAGCAUCUUCCAGUGAGGAGUUGAAUGAUGAACCAGGAAAAUAUGGCCAAUGUACGGACGCAGACUUCAACAAUGGAAAGGCUGUUGUCAUUGGGCCUUCACCUCCUGCUCAUCUCCAAAUGCCCUCAGGUAUAGGAAAAGGUUAUGGUGGACCACCUAUACUUGUUGGUGUAGUCAAGGAUGGGGAGAAAUUCGACUUUUGUAUGUGCAACCCUCCUUUUUUUGAGACGAUAGAGGAAGCUGGAUUAAAUCCAAAGACUUCUUGUGGUGGGACUGUGCAGGAGAUGGUUUGUCCUGGGGGAGAGAGUGCUUUUAUCACUCGCAUUAUUGAGGAUAGUGUUCAACUAAGGCAAUCAUUUCGGUGGUACACCUCAAUGGUUGGAAGAAAAGCUAACCUAAAGGUACUGAUAUCAAAGCUUUGGGAGGUUGGAGCAACAAUAGUAAAGACAACUGAAUUUGUGCAAGGCCAAACAUGCCGAUGGGGGCUUGCCUGGUCAUUUCUCCCUGCUUCCAAGAAGAUUUUACCACCUCAUGUGGCUGAAAAGAAUAACAUGUCAUUCAUGCUUGAGGGUCUGCAGCGCCAUCAGAGUGCCUUCGAUGUAUUGCAAUCAGUGGAAUCCUACUUCUGCAAUAUUGGUGCAUCCUCUAAAUUAGACUCUGCCUCAUUCAAAGUUGAUGUAACUUUGUCAGCUGAGCAAUGUAAUACUAUCCUGAAG